AGGCAAUAACAGGUCUGUGAUGCCCUUAGAUGUUGUGGGCCGCACGCGCGCUACAAUGAUGAAGUCAGCGAGUUCACUCCUAGGCCGGAAGGUGUGGGUAAUCUUGUGAAACUUCAUCGUGCUGGGGAUAGAGCACUAGCAAUUAUUGCUCUUCAACGAGGAAUUCGUAGUAAGCGCAAGUCAUCAGCUUGCGUUGAUUACGUCCCUGCCCUUUGUACACACCGCCCGUCGUUACUACCGAUUGAAUGACUUAGUGAGGACUCGAGAUU
RNAcentral lists this ribosomal RNA (269 nucleotides) under uncultured fungus. Its description in RNAcentral is "partial 18S ribosomal RNA". It matches the Rfam family "Eukaryotic small subunit ribosomal RNA", at positions 1448 to 1716 of the family's 1831-position model. Lineage: Eukaryota; Fungi. The record is from RNAcentral.